RNAcentral lists this transfer RNA (72 nucleotides) under Nippostrongylus brasiliensis. It matches the Rfam family "tRNA". Rfam says of the family: Transfer RNA (tRNA) molecules are approximately 80 nucleotides in length. Their secondary structure includes four short double-helical elements and three loops (D, anti-codon, and T loops). Further hydrogen bonds mediate the characteristic L-shaped molecular structure. tRNAs have two regions of fundamental functional importance: the anti-codon, which is responsible for specific mRNA codon recognition, and the 3' end, to which the tRNAs corresponding amino acid is attached (by aminoacyl-tRNA synthetases). tRNAs cope with the degeneracy of the genetic code in two manners: having more than one tRNA (with a specific anti-codon) for a particular amino acid; and 'wobble' base-pairing, i.e. permitting non-standard base-pairing at the 3rd anti-codon position. The record is from Rfam by way of RNAcentral. Lineage: Eukaryota; Metazoa; Nematoda; Chromadorea; Rhabditida; Heligmosomidae.
GUCUCAGUAGCAUAGUGGUUAGUACAGAGCUCCGGAUAGGUUGAGAUGUGGGUUCGAAUCCCGCCUAAGAUG